GGAGGCAGCAGUGGGGAAUAUUGCACAAUGGGCGGAAGCCUGAUGCAGCGACGCCGCGUGAGGGAUGACGGCCUUCGGGUUGUAAACCUCUUUCAGCAGGGACGAAGCGUAAGUGACGGUACCUGCAGAAGAAGCGCCGGCCAACUACGUGCCAGCAGCCGCGGUAAGACGUAGGGCGCGAGCGUUGUCCGGAUUUAUUGGGCGUAAAGAGCUCGUAGGCGGCUUGUCGCGUCGACCGUGAAAACCUGGGGCUCAACCCCAGGCCUGCGGUCGAUACGGGCAGGCUAGAGUUCGGUAGGGGAGACUGGAAUUCCUGGUGUAGCGGUGAAAUGCGCAGAUAUCAGGAGGAACACCGGUGGCGAAGGCGGGUCUCUGGGCCGAUACUGACGCUGAGGAGCGAAAGCGUGGGGAGCGAACAGGAUUAGAUACCCUGGUAG
This 437-nucleotide ribosomal RNA is filed under the name uncultured Micromonospora sp. Its description in RNAcentral is "bacterial SSU rRNA". It matches the Rfam family "Bacterial small subunit ribosomal RNA", at positions 344 to 793 of the family's 1533-position model. Lineage: Bacteria; Bacillati; Actinomycetota; Actinomycetes; Micromonosporales; Micromonosporaceae. The record is from RNAcentral.